This is a non-coding RNA of Schizosaccharomyces pombe (fission yeast), 490 nucleotides long. The record is from the annotation of a GenBank genome assembly. NCBI's taxonomy places the organism in Eukaryota, Fungi, Ascomycota, Schizosaccharomycetes, Schizosaccharomycetales, Schizosaccharomycetaceae.
CCAUGUAAAAGGAAUCUGUGGCUCCCGAUACUUCAGCAAAAUCUCGAAUUGAAACACGCCAAACAUGAGUGUAAACAGAAUGAACAACAUCCUUAUCAAUAAAGUUAUUUUCUCCGCAUGACUUAAAUACAAGCGGAUUGAUUACUUUAUCCAAGAGAAAUGCUUUAAAAAAAGGUCGAACUGACUUGUCACCAACUAUACUGCAGCAAACUAAAAAUAUACUUUUCUUUUCAGCUGCACUUGUUGAGGUUAUAAGACAACCACAUAACGAAUCUAUGUAUUCUGGAAGGAAAUCGUUAUCAUCGUCAGCUUUAAAUCUAAAAACUUCUAAUGAAAACUCGAGCUUCUUCUCUAUUUUCUUUAAACUAGAUAAAAGCAUUUUUGUAAUGGACGAUAUACACCUGCGAAUAGGAAGAAAUAGAUAUUCGUUGUAUGAACUAAGCAUUCCAUACAAGGACUUUGAUAAAACAAUAAAUUUAGCCGAUAUAAC